Molecule: long non-coding RNA, 920 nt
Organism: Dromaius novaehollandiae (emu)
Lineage: Eukaryota; Metazoa; Chordata; Aves; Casuariiformes; Dromaiidae
Source: Ensembl
UGAGCACAUGAGCAACUGAGACAAAUGCAAAUUAAGAAGCAUGUCUUCCACAGGUGUAAAACCACUAUGUAUGACAAUAUCCUUUUCAGUAGUUAGGCUCCAGUAGUUCUUACUGUAAUUUAUAACCCUGAAGCUUCCAGAAGUCAGUCCCCAGGACAGUUUACAUGUAGUUACACUCUAGUUUUUGUAUGUAUUGUGUAUAUUCAGUGAACAGAGCUCAGUGGGACCCCGUUUUACUCAUCUGGGGUUUUUUUUGUGUGCGUGUUUGCUGUCUCUAUACUAAAAGAACUUUAAUUUUGGGAGUGGAGCUUGGAAUACUCAGAGGACAGAUUUGAAGAAACACUGAAAAGCAGAAGUGCUCACUUCCUAAAGGCAGGAACAAGAAUAAGUUCAUUAGUUCUAAGGCUGAGAAGGUGUUGCGGACUGCAAAUGGCACCCAACUCUUUUUAAGGCACCCAGAAGAUUCAGUGUGGCACUACCUGGAGCUCUAAGAAGACAACAGUAUGUGCUGUCUGUAAGAAAGCAGCAGGAAGGUGUUGCACGAAUUUGAUGGAGGACAUGUUUUCAAAGAUCAGAGACAGCAACUAUAUUUUGGAAGCUGUGCAGCAGAUUCACCAGAUCUACAGAUGGGAACAUACUGCCAGAACAGUCUCCCAUUUUGACAUCCAUUUCCUGUGCUCCAGUGUUGUGGGAGAGUCUUGGCAAGGGAGAGGCCUCUGCCACGAGUCAGGUUUCCAAUCUCUGAAUGCUACGCAAGACCUCUGGGAGGAAAUAUCUACAUCCAGGGGCAACUUCUCUGCCUGCUUGCCACCACAGCUAGUAUCAACAUCCCCUUGUGCUGGUGCUUGCGAGUCCAGCCCAGCCAGCUGCAAACUAUUUGCCAUGCUUCCUGGAGCACAGUUUGGGGAGCCUCUGCAAGA